This 60-nucleotide microRNA precursor is filed under the name Ascaris suum (pig roundworm). RNAcentral describes it as "Asu-Mir-54-o3_pre stem-loop". The record is from RNAcentral. Lineage: Eukaryota; Metazoa; Nematoda; Chromadorea; Rhabditida; Ascarididae.
CCAUGUUGGUGCGUCGUGGUAUGCUGAUGGUGUAUUCAUACCCGUAAUGCCAACAUGCAU